Zophobas morio is the source of this 692-nucleotide long non-coding RNA. RefSeq lists it as uncharacterized. The record is from RefSeq and is a predicted model, not a curated record. The transcript is spliced from 2 exons. Lineage: Eukaryota; Metazoa; Arthropoda; Insecta; Coleoptera; Tenebrionidae.
UACUGUUACACGUAAUAUUGGUAGUAACGGUCGCUUGACAAAAAAUGUUUAUUGUUUUACUGUAAUAAUUUUUUCGUCAGAAAAAUGAAUUCCGAAAACAUUCCUAAAGAAAAAAUGUAAAAAUCUGUAGAAGCGAGUGCGCAAUUGAUUCCGAGGAAAUCGUCUGAAAGAUAUCAAAGACAAUUUUGUGAAUUUUGCAAGUGGCUACCGGAAAAUAUUAUAUAAAUAAUUUGAACGGAAGUUAUGUUAGCAUACUUCUUAGAUUUGCUGACAAAUUAAAUGUUCAGUCACAUGAUUAUUUCACAAAUCAACUGUUUUUCAAUCUGAGAAAAUGUGUCCAUCAUCAUUUGGCCAAAAUAUUCUAUAAUAAAAUUAUUCCUGUUUCACAAUGAAAAUGUUGAUAUCUCCCGCAGCACGAAGUUAGUUGUCUCCGAAACAGGCAAAGACAUUAACCAGGGAAGACAUUUACAAAUUUCUGAAAGAAAUGGUAGCCAUAAUUGGAAUAGCCGCCCAUAAGAAUUGCAUAAUAUGUCAUUGGAAGAAACUAAGCCCCAGUUAGUGAUUUAUCAUUAUUCCUCAUACAAAAACGAAUCAAAUGAAUUAUUACUAUAAUUACUGAAGUAAGAUUCAUUUAUAAGUUAAAAGUAUGUAGUGUUAUUUUUAAGUUGUGUUUCAGUAAAUGAAUAAAAAUA